Molecule: long non-coding RNA, 650 nt
Organism: Sitophilus oryzae (rice weevil)
Lineage: Eukaryota; Metazoa; Arthropoda; Insecta; Coleoptera; Curculionidae
Exons: 3
Source: RefSeq, a predicted model, not a curated record
AAAAUUAAAAUAAUCUUUUAGAUGAUCAACCUACUGGUAAUUUGGUGUCCGGUGAUGUCGAUCCAGGUACAAACCCUAUAUUUAAAGACAAACAUUUGUUGUAGAACUUGUUGGUGGACCACUCUCUCGUUGGUAUUAGACAUGUACUGUUACCUGAGAUAAAAGCAGUAACUGAAAAGGAGAAAGGAUCAGAUAAUCCAAAUCAGGAAUCUUCCAGAGUGCAGAUGAUGCAGUUUUUGUGAGUGAGGUAUAAGAUCUGUCUCUUGUAAGACCUCUUUUAAGAAUUUAACCCAGGCAGUUGUUUACAACCAAGUUAGAUCUCAAGCAUAGCAAAGGAAUCGUCCAACCUGUGAAUUCAGUUUAAUUACUGAGAUCAAGGAUGAUGAAACAUUCAUUAUGAUUAUACAGAGCUACAAAGAGUUAUGUUGAGAAUCCAAAUUAUCAUAAUGAAUUGAGACGAGACAACACCUGGGUGGAAAUUGAGGAAAAAUGCAGAUAAAAGGCUUUUUUAUAUUAACGUUAUAAAUCCAAUAUUUUUAUCAAAUCGUCACAUAGAUAAUAUUUCUCUACGCAUAAUACUAAAAUUAAAAAGGUCAGGUUAAAACAACUUUAAUUAUCCAUCGCGUGCGAAAAACAGUGCUUCGCAUGAC